CCUACGGGCGGCAGCAGUGAGGAAUAUUGGUCAAUGGACGAGAGUCUGAACCAGCCAAGUAGCGUGAAGGAUGACUGCCCUAUGGGUUGUAAACUUCUUUUAUAAAGGAAUAAAACGAGGCACGUGUGCCUUUUUGCAUGUACUUUAUGAAUAAGGAUCGGCUAACCCCGUUCCAGCAGCCGCGGUAAUACGGAGGAUCCGAGCGUUAUCCGGAUUUUUUGGGGUUAAAGGGAGCGUAGAUGGGUUGUUAAGUCAGUUGUGAAAGUUUGCGGCUCAACCGUAAAAUUGCAAUUGAUACUGGCAGUCUUGAGUACAGGUGAGGUAGGCGGAAUUCGUGGUGUAGCGGUGAAAUGCUUAGAUAUCACGAAGAACCCCGAUUGCGAAGGCAGCUUACUAGACUGUGACUGACAUUGAUGCACGAAAGUGUGGGUAUCGAACAGGAUUAGAUACCCCAGUAGUC
This 460-nucleotide ribosomal RNA is filed under the name uncultured bacterium. Its description in RNAcentral is "partial 16S ribosomal RNA". It matches the Rfam family "Bacterial small subunit ribosomal RNA", at positions 338 to 795 of the family's 1533-position model. The record is from RNAcentral.